UACGGAGGGGGCGAGCGUUGUCCGAAUUUACUGGGCGUAAAGCGCGUGUAGGCGGGUUGUCAAGUCCGCUGUGAAAGCCCGAGGCUCAACCUCGGAGGGUUGGUGGAUACUGACAGUCUUGAAGGUGCUAGGGGGAGAUGGAAUUACCGGUGUAGCGGUGAAAUGCGUAGAUAUCGGGAGGAACACCAGUGGCGAAGGCGGUUGCCUGGGGCUUUGCUGACGCUGAUGCGCGAAAGCGUGGGGAGCGAUCCGG
RNAcentral lists this ribosomal RNA (253 nucleotides) under uncultured bacterium. Its description in RNAcentral is "partial 16S ribosomal RNA". It matches the Rfam family "Bacterial small subunit ribosomal RNA", at positions 524 to 776 of the family's 1533-position model. The record is from RNAcentral.